UACGGAGGGUGCGAGCGUUGUCCGGAUUUAUUGGGCUUAAAGGGUGCGUAGGCGGCCCGUUAAGUCCGUGGUGACAGCCAACAGCUCAACUGUUGAACUGCCAUGGAUACUGACGGGCUUGAGUACAGACGAGGUAGGCGGAAUGGAUGGUGUAGCGGUGAAAUGCAUAGAUACCAUCCAGAACACCGAUUGCGUAGGCAGCUUACUAGGCUGUAACUGACGCUGAGGCACGAAAGCGUGGGGAGCGAACAGG
This 253-nucleotide ribosomal RNA is filed under the name uncultured bacterium. RNAcentral describes it as "partial 16S ribosomal RNA". It matches the Rfam family "Bacterial small subunit ribosomal RNA", at positions 524 to 776 of the family's 1533-position model. The record is from RNAcentral.